UACGUAGGGUGCAAGCGUUGUCCGGAAUUAUUGGGCGUAAAGGGCUCGUAGGCGGUCCGUCACGUCGGGAGUGAAAACUUGGGGCUCAACCCCAAGCUUGCUUUCGAUACGGGCGGACUAGAGGUAGGCAGGGGAGAAUGGAAUUCCUGGUGUAGCGGUGGAAUGCGCAGAUAUCAGGAGGAACACCGGUGGCGAAGGCGGUUCUCUGGGACGGUACUGACGCUGAGACGCGAAAGCGUGGGGAGCGAACAGG
RNAcentral lists this ribosomal RNA (253 nucleotides) under uncultured bacterium. RNAcentral describes it as "partial 16S ribosomal RNA". It matches the Rfam family "Bacterial small subunit ribosomal RNA", at positions 524 to 776 of the family's 1533-position model. The record is from RNAcentral.